This 465-nucleotide ribosomal RNA is filed under the name Vreelandella stevensii. Its description in RNAcentral is "partial 16S ribosomal RNA". It matches the Rfam family "Bacterial small subunit ribosomal RNA", at positions 338 to 795 of the family's 1533-position model. Lineage: Bacteria; Pseudomonadati; Pseudomonadota; Gammaproteobacteria; Oceanospirillales; Halomonadaceae. The record is from RNAcentral.
CCUACGGGGGGCAGCAGUGGGGAAUAUUGGACAAUGGGGGCAACCCUGAUCCAGCCAUGCCGCGUGUGUGAAGAAGGCCCUCGAGUUGUAAAGCACUUUCAGUGAGGAAGAACGCCUGGUGGUUAAUACCCAUCAGGAAAGACAUCACUCACAGAAGAAGCACCGGCUAACUCCGUGCCAGCAGCCGCGGUAAUACGGAGGGUGCGAGCGUUAAUCGGAAUUACUGGGCGUAAAGCGCGCGUAGGUGGCUUGAUAAGCCGGUUGUGAAAGCCCCGGGCUCAACCUGGGAACGGCAUCCGGAACUGUCAAGCUAGAGUGCAGGAGAGGAAGGUAGAAUUCCCGGUGUAGCGGUGAAAUGCGUAGAGAUCGGGAGGAAUACCAGUGGCGAAGGCGGCCUUCUGGACUGACACUGACACUGAGGUGCGAAAGCGUGGGUAGCAAACAGGAUUAGAUACCCUUGUAGUC